UACGUAGGAGACGAGCGUUGUCCGGAAUUACUGGGCGUAAAGCGCGUGUAGGCGGGUCCGCAAGUCUGCUGUGAAAGCUCCUGGCUUAACCGGGAGUGGUCGGUGGAAACUGCGAACCUGGAGGACGGUAGAGGUAGGUAGAAUUCCCGGUGUAGUGGUGAAAUGCGUAGAGAUCGGGAGGAAUACCUGUGGCGAAGGCGGCCUACUGGGCCGGACCUGACGCUGAGACGCGAAGGCGUGGGGAGCGAACGGG
Molecule: ribosomal RNA, 253 nt
Filed under: uncultured bacterium
Lineage: Bacteria
Description: partial 16S ribosomal RNA
Rfam family: Bacterial small subunit ribosomal RNA
Source: RNAcentral